RNAcentral lists this ribosomal RNA (496 nucleotides) under Alternaria tenuissima. RNAcentral's name for it is "eukaryotic LSU rRNA". The stretch from base 131 to 284 matches the Rfam family "5.8S ribosomal RNA". Lineage: Eukaryota; Fungi; Ascomycota; Dothideomycetes; Pleosporales; Pleosporaceae. The record is from RNAcentral.
UACAGCCUUGCUGAAUUAUUCACCCUUGUCUUUUGCGUACUUCUUGUUUCCUUGGUGGGUUCGCCCACCACUAGGACAAACAUAAACCUUUUGUAAUUGCAAUCAGCGUCAGUAACAAAUUAAUAAUUACAACUUUCAACAACGGAUCUCUUGGUUCUGGCAUCGAUGAAGAACGCAGCGAAAUGCGAUAAGUAGUGUGAAUUGCAGAAUUCAGUGAAUCAUCGAAUCUUUGAACGCACAUUGCGCCCUUUGGUAUUCCAAAGGGCAUGCCUGUUCGAGCGUCAUUUGUACCCUCAAGCUUUGCUUGGUGUUGGGCGUCUUGUCUCUAGCUUUGCUGGAGACUCGCCUUAAAGUAAUUGGCAGCCGGCCUACUGGUUUCGGAGCGCAGCACAAGUCGCACUCUCUAUCAGCAAAGGUCUAGCAUCCAUUAAGCCUUUUUUUCAACUUUUGACCUCGGAUCAGGUAGGGAUACCCGCUGAACUUAAGCAUAUCAAUA